GGCUCUGUGGCUCAGUGGUAGAGUGCUUGCCUUGCAUGCAUAAGGCCCUGGGUUCCAUUCCUAGGCACCACCU
Molecule: transfer RNA, 73 nt
Filed under: Dipodomys ordii (Ord's kangaroo rat)
Lineage: Eukaryota; Metazoa; Chordata; Mammalia; Rodentia; Heteromyidae
Rfam family: tRNA
About the family: Transfer RNA (tRNA) molecules are approximately 80 nucleotides in length.
Source: Rfam by way of RNAcentral